AGUGUGGCUGGAGGUUGGGUUUCAGUGUUCGCCCUGUGAGGGGCAGGAGAUGCAUUGCAUCCAAAGGAACAGUACUCACUGGGGCAGAAAGGAAAAGGGAAAAAUGCAACGGCUGUCAAUCUGCCAAUUGCUUGAACGACACCAAGAACGAAAAUAUCCAGGAUUAGUUAAACGUCUAUAUUUCUCAUAAUGUAAAGAAUUUGGAGUUUCUACAAUUGCUGGAAUUUUCACCGGGACUGCGAAUCCCCAGACCUUAAGCACGAGUGCAUUAUUUUCACUUGUUUUAUGUGUGUUUCCAGCAACGUUUGGGAACACAUUGAUGCGGGAUUUCGGAUUAUUGCGCUAACUGAAUCGACAUCCGCAAGAAAUAUUGGCUCUGUUAAUGGAAAAAAAAAUGCCUCUCAGAAUUUUCCUUGGGAUAAUUGGAAUUUGAACCGUUUUCAUUUGGGGGUGGUGGCAUGUUUUCACCAAGAAAUGAAAAUGUCAUGGUCACGAUUAAACAACCGUGAGAAUAAGCAGUAUGGAUACCAGCUGAAUCAAUGGAGAUGGCUAUUACCAAGCUAUGUUCCCGGAAAAUAUAAACGUGGAAUUAUGUUACAAGCUUUUGGAAUGUUCCUGUCAUUUGGUAUUGAGUGGAUUCCAUGGAUGUCCGAGGAUAUAUUGUAUCCAGAUGAUGUAUUGAAAAGCCUGGGAUGUAUACAGGAUACUCCGUGGAUUUAAACUCGGAACAAUAAUGUGGAUUUUGGCAGUUUUGGGUCUGGAUUUAGUAAGAGAUACUUUGCUGUAUAAUCCUCAACUAAAGUGACAAAGCACAUCCAAGUGAUAUGGAAAGGGCACCACAGAAGGCCACAGCGUUAGGCAAUCAGUGAAGCUGCUAAGCAAGGACCAAGUUGGGCUUGGCUUCGAUGGACCCCACAGUCACAGCUCGUACAUGAAGACGGUGCCCUUGGUUGAGGCACCGGAGGGCUGCCAGCAUUCGUACGAGAACCUUCCAGCAUGAGUCGAUGCCUUCAGCUCCACCGGGGGAAAAAAAUUGGAAAGGAACAGUAUUCCAGAUCUGCAUGAGUUAUUCUACAUGCAACCACUCCUACCAGGUCAUCAAAAGAUUGCUACUGCUCAAUAGUAGAGGAGUAAUAAGCUGUCAAAUGUGACAUCGUGGGCAACAUCCGCUUAAUAUUGAAGGCUGAAACUCAAUCUUCACUCCAGAAUAUCCCAAACGGACACCAUAACAAUGUCAAAAAACCAUUUCAACACCUUCUCAUUUUGACCUCCACCUGCACAGUUUCAUAAAUGCUUGAGCUUAACUCUGCAACGGACACCAUUUCCAACACAGUUCAGAAAAUAAGCUGCAAAAGAACAAAGUUGCUGGGAAUAUGCAAGAGGAUGUCAGAUGAACGAAACCUAAAUAGAUCUCUGUGAAGGAUUUUUUGAAUGGAUGCCAACAAUUCCGAAUUUCCUUUCUUUUUCAAUGUUUCAAUGCUAAGAUCACUAGCCGUAAAUUCUGUAUGGAAGUUAUUUGUGUCAAUGAAACUUAAAUCUGAAGUGCUUUGUUUUUUAAAUAAAUGUGAUCUAUUUAUGAGCAUAGCAAGUACAUUGAAUUAUAAACUCCAAAUGAUUUUGGAAAAUCCAUUUGGAGCUUUGUGAUGAGGGUUUCAUUAUCUUUUUACAUUUUGUGUAUUUAGGUUCUUGUGAGAAGUCUUUUCAAAAAUGACCCAUCUAAUGAAGGGAAUAUGUAUUUGUGUACUCUUUCUAUUUUCUUAUAAUAACUUCUCAAGAAUGCAUAAAUUAUGUUCAUUUUGUUUGUAAGCAGAUAAUUUCAUUGUAACCUGUUCUUCAGUUUAAAGUCAUAAAGUCGUAUGUCAUAGAAACAGGUUCUUUCAUCCAUCAAGUCUCUGCCAACCAUCAAGCAUCCAUUUAUAUUAAUCACAUUUUAUCUCUCCACAUUGCCAUCAGCAGAUUCUACCACCCACCUGCACACUAGGGGCAAGUGACAGUGACGAAUUAACCUCCCAUCCUGCGUUUCUUUGGGAUAUGGGAGGAAACUGGAGCUCCCAGGGGAACCCCACACAUCCACAGGGAGAAUUUGCAAACUCUGCAUACAUAGCAUCAGAGAUGAGGGUUGAACCCAACUUGCUGGAGCUGUGAAGUGGAACCACUAUGCCACCCAACAUAAAGUCUAUGAUUUUGAAACUUCCUACUUUAGACAGUAAAUGUGUUUAAUUAAGAACAUCCAACUGCUGUAGAAAAUUGCCUGCUUUAUGAUAAUAUUAGCAAAUAUACAAAUGCUGAAUCAAACUUCUUCAAAGAUUCUUAUGUACAAUUAUUUAAUAGAACUAGUGUUCUAUUGUAGGUAAGAGAACAACCCAUGAGUUACUUCAUCUAAAUAGUUUCGGUCCAGGAUACACUGCAUUAAAGUUCGGGAGACCAGUAAACUUUUUAUUUAUUCAUUGUAUCUAAGUUAUUCCAUAUUUAGAAAUUAAUAUUGCAAAGUAGAAUACUUCAGCCCAUCAGAUGAAGGGAACUUCAUUGAAUGAUGUAAAAAUCUGGAAAAGUGAGAUGAAUUGCUCCCAAUAAACUUUAAUUAAAGACAAAGUUUAUCUCUAUACAUAAAGACAUAUGAAUCUUUCAGUACGAAUGUUAGUCCAUCUUCAAUGUCCAUGGUGUGAUCAGUUAAUUAUAUAACAGAUUUUAUAAUAUAUGCAUAUGCAUCAGUUUGAAACACUCAAGAAUUUUAAAACCGUUUCAGAAAGGUUUUCACUUGGCCUUCACUGUAACUACACCUGGCUGUACAUAUUUUCUUUUAUUCAACUCUAGAAAUAAUUUUGUUUGCUCCUUAUUAAGAUGUGCAUACCAAUAGAAUAAUUUACUGUAUACCUUUCAUUUUUAUUAUGAUUACUGCAACAAUGUGAUACAAAUUAUAACUUUGUGUAAUAAACACUUU
Long non-coding RNA from Pristis pectinata (smalltooth sawfish), 2941 nucleotides. RefSeq lists it as uncharacterized. Lineage: Eukaryota; Metazoa; Chordata; Chondrichthyes; Rhinopristiformes; Pristidae. The record is from RefSeq and is a predicted model, not a curated record. The transcript has 4 exons.